This 87-nucleotide transfer RNA is filed under the name Felis catus (domestic cat). It matches the Rfam family "tRNA". Rfam says of the family: Transfer RNA (tRNA) molecules are approximately 80 nucleotides in length. Lineage: Eukaryota; Metazoa; Chordata; Mammalia; Carnivora; Felidae. The record is from Rfam by way of RNAcentral.
GCCUGGGUGGCUCAGUCGGUUAAGCGUCUGACUUCGGCUCAGGGUCAUGAUCUCGCGGGUUCGUGGGUUCGAGCCCCGCGUCGGGCU